GUUAUUAUUGCAUAACAACAAUUUUCAGGCUAUUGUUUAUAUAUUUAAGAGCGAAGAUCCAAGGAAGUCUUUGGUUAUCACUCUGCUUCUAAUUAAUUGUGUAUUGUUGGGCUUAUCGAUUCCCGCUUUAUUGAAGGUAAAAAAGACUUUGGUUUUUAUGGAUAGAAAUGAUAUGGCUUAUUCCGGUUCAAAUUGGUCUCAUUUUUCAUUCCGCAUUUUGGAUUGAAAUUUACGUGGCUCCCAUAAUGAUUUGCUUUGUGGCACAUUUACUUUUCAUCUCACACAUAAUAUGCACAUGUAUAAUAGAUGAAUAUAGAUAUUUGUAUGACCCAGAUAGUGUCAGAGCAUACCCAGAACAUCUGAGCCAAAACGUGCAUCUUGAAGCCAGGUUGGCUUCGUAUGUACCACCGCCCCCCUACCCGGGUGAUGGAAGCAAUUCGAAUAAAUUGGCAACCAUGGAUCAAGGUGGCAAAAACAAAUCGUUUUAUACACCACCGGCACCAUCAGCACCAUAUGACACAACACCAUUGCAACCUCCUACCACCAACAAUACACACGAAAGUUCAACUGGUUUAAAUGACGCUAAGAUGUAUGUUCCCGAUUAAAUGAACUUGGAUUCCACAUUCCGACCAAUUUACCAAUUUUAUUUUAAUAAUGAAAAUACCUCAGUGAAAAUGUCGAUUAAUUAAUGUCAGUGAAACUAAUAAUAAUAAAUAAAAAUAAAAUAAAAAAUAAUAAUAAUAACUGCA
Contarinia nasturtii (swede midge) is the source of this 749-nucleotide long non-coding RNA. RefSeq lists it as uncharacterized. Lineage: Eukaryota; Metazoa; Arthropoda; Insecta; Diptera; Cecidomyiidae. The record is from RefSeq and is a predicted model, not a curated record. The transcript is spliced from 4 exons.